RNAcentral lists this ribosomal RNA (715 nucleotides) under Calliscelio sp. OSUC 420734. RNAcentral's name for it is "partial 28S ribosomal RNA". It matches the Rfam family "Eukaryotic large subunit ribosomal RNA", at positions 504 to 904 of the family's 3401-position model. Lineage: Eukaryota; Metazoa; Arthropoda; Insecta; Hymenoptera; Scelionidae. The record is from RNAcentral.
GUGGCUUCCAUGUGGUUCUUGAUGUUUGAGACGGUACUUUUGUAUUUGUCAAUUUCACGAGUCCGCUGUGGUAUGUCUGUCUGCGUCGGCGUGCACUUCUCCUCUAGUAGAACGUCGCGACCCGCUGGGUGUCGGUUUAAGGUCCGAGAUUGUCGACUGUUCCGUCGCUUCGGCGUCACGGUAACAGACGCUUGGUAAUCCGACCGACUGCUCGGCGGUAUACGCAAGGUAUCGAGCCGCAUUUGAAUGCGUUCAGACUCGUUGCAAGCUCGGUCACUUUUUAUCUCGGAGUGCGGACCUGGUGCCGUACCUGAGGGUGAUUAGCUGUUGGUUUACGAUGUUCUCGAACUGGCUUAAUUUUGAAUUGAACGAUACCGGUCGGCGACGCUAUUGAUUUGGGUACUUUCAGGACCCGUCUUGAAACACGGACCAAGGAGUCUAACAUGUGCGCGAGUCAUUGGGAUAAUAAAACCUAAAGGCGUAUUGAAAGAGAAGGUCGGCCUUGCGUCGAUUGAGGGAGGAUGAGUAACGUUUAGAUGUUGCUCCGCACUCCCGGGGCGUCUCGUUGUCAUUGCGACUUGAGGUGCACCCAGAGCGUACACGUUGGGACCCGAAAGAUGGUGAACUAUGCCUGGUCAGGAUGAAGUCAGGGGAAACCCUGAUAGAGGUCUCCUUCCGAUAGUAGCGCAUCCUUCCGAUAGUAGCUGGUCCUCCG